AUCAGGUAGGAAUACCCGCUGAACUUAAGCAUAUCAAAGCGGGGGAGGAA
Molecule: ribosomal RNA, 50 nt
Filed under: Phomopsis euphorbiae
Lineage: Eukaryota; Fungi; Ascomycota; Sordariomycetes; Diaporthales; Diaporthaceae
Description: partial 28S ribosomal RNA
Source: RNAcentral